RNAcentral lists this ribosomal RNA (548 nucleotides) under uncultured bacterium. Its description in RNAcentral is "bacterial SSU rRNA". It matches the Rfam family "Bacterial small subunit ribosomal RNA", at positions 355 to 896 of the family's 1533-position model. The record is from RNAcentral.
UGGGGAAUUUUGGACAAUGGGCGCAAGCCUGAUCCAGCAAUGCCGCGUGCAGGAUGAAGGCCUUCGGGUUGUAAACUGCUUUUGUACAGAACGAAAAGUCUUGGGUUAAUACCCUGGGACCAUGACGGUACUGUAAGAAUAAGCACCGGCUAACUACGUGCCAGCAGCCGCGGUAAUACGUAGGGUGCAAGCGUUAAUCGGAAUUACUGGGCGUAAAGCGUGCGCAGGCGGUUAUGUAAGACAGAGGUGAAAUCCCCGGGCUCAACCUGGGAACGGCCUUUGUGACUGCAUAGCUAGAGUACGGUAGAGGGGGAUGGAAUUCCGCGUGUAGCAGUGAAAUGCGUAGAUAUGCGGAGGAACACCGAUGGCGAAGGCAAUCCCCUGGACCUGUACUGACGCUCAUGCACGAAAGCGUGGGGAGCAAACAGGAUUAGAUACCCUGGUAGUCCACGCCCUAAACGAUGUCAACUGGUUGUUGGGUCUUAACUGACUCAGUAACGAAGCUAACGCGUGAAGUUGACCGCCUGGGGAGUACGGCCGCAAGGUUG